UCCAAACUCAGAAGGGGCAGGACCCCCCUA
This 30-nucleotide non-coding RNA is filed under the name Homo sapiens (human). The record is from RNAcentral. Lineage: Eukaryota; Metazoa; Chordata; Mammalia; Primates; Hominidae.